UGCGCAGGCGGUUCUGUAAGACCGAUGUGAAAUCCCCGGGCUUAACCUGGGAACUGCAUUGGUGACUGCAGGGCUAGAGUGUGUCAGAGGGAGGUGGAAUUCCGCGUGUAGCAGUGAAAUGCGUAGAGAUGCGGAGGAACACCGAUGGCGAAGGCAGCCUCCUGGGAUAACACUGACGCUCAGGCACGAAAGCUGGGAGCAAACA
This 205-nucleotide ribosomal RNA is filed under the name uncultured bacterium. RNAcentral's name for it is "partial 16S ribosomal RNA". It matches the Rfam family "Bacterial small subunit ribosomal RNA", at positions 568 to 774 of the family's 1533-position model. The record is from RNAcentral.